This 86-nucleotide transfer RNA is filed under the name Candidatus Woesearchaeota archaeon. RNAcentral describes it as "tRNA-Leu". It matches the Rfam family "tRNA". Rfam says of the family: Transfer RNA (tRNA) molecules are approximately 80 nucleotides in length. Their secondary structure includes four short double-helical elements and three loops (D, anti-codon, and T loops). Lineage: Archaea; Nanobdellati; Candidatus Woesearchaeota. The record is from RNAcentral.
GCGGAGGUCGCAUAGUCUGGCCAAUUGCGCAGGACUUAAGAUCCUGUUCCUUAGUGGAUUCGAGGGUUCAAAUCCCCCCCUCCGCA